Molecule: ribosomal RNA, 300 nt
Filed under: uncultured Lactobacillus sp.
Lineage: Bacteria; Bacillati; Bacillota; Bacilli; Lactobacillales; Lactobacillaceae
Description: bacterial SSU rRNA
Rfam family: Bacterial small subunit ribosomal RNA
Source: RNAcentral
GCUAAUGUGAGGCGAGCAGCAGUCGGAAUACAGGGGGUGGAAGCGUUGGUGUGAAGUUUUGGGCGUAAAACGGGUGUAGGCGGCUGGUCAAGUCGGGUGCGAAAGCCCUCAGCCCAACUGAGGAAGUGCGCCCGAAACUGCAGGGAUUGAAUACCGGAUAGGAGGGCGGAAUGCCCCAAGUAGAGGGGAAAUUCGUAGAGAUGGGGAGGAACACCGGUGGCGAAGGCGGCCAUCUGGACGGCUAUUGACGCUGAGACGCGAAAGCGUGGGGAGCAAACAGGAUUAGAUACCCUGGUAGUC